Molecule: regulatory RNA element, 59 nt
Organism: Actinoplanes utahensis
Lineage: Bacteria; Bacillati; Actinomycetota; Actinomycetes; Micromonosporales; Micromonosporaceae
Rfam family: Actino-pnp RNA
Source: Rfam
ACCGGUCCUCGGUAGUGGUUCCCAGGUGACUUCCCUGGGCACUUCGAUCGAAGACCGGC